RNAcentral lists this ribosomal RNA (180 nucleotides) under uncultured Glomeromycotina. RNAcentral describes it as "partial small subunit ribosomal RNA". Lineage: Eukaryota; Fungi; Glomeromycota. The record is from RNAcentral.
GGUCCGGUUGGACGGUCUGCCCUAGGGUACGUACUGUCCUGGCUGGAUCUUACCUUCUGGUGAACUGUCGUGUCUCCUCUGGGGGUGCGGCAGGAAACCAGGACAAUUACUUUGAAAAAAUUAGAGUGUUUAAAGCAGGCUCGCGCUUGAAUACAUUAGCAUGGAAUAAUGAAAUAGGAC